This 1405-nucleotide ribosomal RNA is filed under the name uncultured bacterium. RNAcentral's name for it is "16S ribosomal RNA". It matches the Rfam family "Bacterial small subunit ribosomal RNA". The record is from RNAcentral.
GAGUGGCGGACGGGUGAGUAACACGUAGGUAACCUGCCCCGGAGCGGGGGAUAACAUUUGGAAACAGAUGCUAAUACCGCAUAACAACAAAAGCCACAUGGCUUUUGUUUGAAAGAUGGCUUUGGCUAUCACUCUGGGAUGGACCUGCGGUGCAUUAGCUAGUUGGUAAGGUAACGGCUUACCAAGGCGAUGAUGCAUAGCCGAGUUGAGAGACUGAUCGGCCACAAUGGAACUGAGACACGGUCCAUACUCCUACGGGAGGCAGCAGUAGGGAAUCUUCCACAAUGGGCGCAAGCCUGAUGGAGCAACACCGCGUGAGUGAAGAAGGGUUUCGGCUCGUAAAGCUCUGUUGUUGGAGAAGAACGUGCGUGAGAGUAACUGUUCACGCAGUGACGGUAUCCAACCAGAAAGUCACGGCUAACUACGUGCCAGCAGCCGCGGUAAUACGUAGGUGGCAAGCGUUAUCCGGAUUUAUUGGGCGUAAAGCGAGCGCAGGCGGUUGCUUAGGUCUGAUGUGAAAGCCUUCGGCUUAACCGAAGAAGUGCAUCGGAAACCGGGCGACUUGAGUGCAGAAGAGGACAGUGGAACUCCAUGUGUAGCGGUGGAAUGCGUAGAUAUAUGGAAGAACACCAGUGGCGAAGGCGGCUGUCUGGUCUGCAACUGACGCUGAGGCUCGAAAGCAUGGGUAGCGAACAGGAUUUAGAUACCCUGGUAGUCCAUGCCGUAAACGAUGAGUGCUAGGUGUUGGAGGGUUUCCGCCCUUCAGUGCCGGAGCUAACGCAUUAAGCACUCCGCCUGGGGAGUACGACCGCAAGGUUGAAACUCAAAGGAAUUGACGGGGGCCCGCACAAGCGGUGGAGCAUGUGGUUUAAUUCGAAGCUACGCGAAGAACCUUACCAGGUCUUGACAUCUUGCGCUAACCUUAGAGAUAAGGCGUUCCCUUCGGGGACGCAAUGACAGGUGGUGCAUGGUCGUCGUCAGCUCGUGUCGUGAGAUGUUGGGUUAAGUCCCGCAACGAGCGCAACCCUUGUUACUAGUUGCCAGCAUUAAGUUGGGCACCCUAGUGAGACUGCCGGUGACAAACCGGAGGAAGGUGGGGACGACGUCAGAUCAUCAUGCCCCUUAUGACCUGGGCUACACACGUGCUACAAUGGACGGUACAACGAGUCGCAAGCUCGCGAGAGUAAGCUAAUCUCUUAAAGCCGUUCUCAGUUCGGACUGUAGGCUGCAACUCGCCUACACGAAGUCGGAAUCGCUAGUAAUCGCGGAUCAGCAUGCCGCGGUGAAUACGUUCCCGGGCCUUGUACACACCGCCCGUCACACCAUGGGAGUUUGUAACGCCCAAAGUCGGUGGCCUAACCUUUAUGGAGGGAGGCGCCUAAGGCGGGACAGAUGACUGGGGUGA